Molecule: ribosomal RNA, 363 nt
Filed under: Callinectes sapidus (blue crab)
Lineage: Eukaryota; Metazoa; Arthropoda; Malacostraca; Decapoda; Portunidae
Description: partial 28S ribosomal RNA
Source: RNAcentral
UGCUUACCAAAAUUGGCUCACUAGAUACUCAGAUUAGUCGCCGAAGCUUCAGCAUUCAAGCAAGCUCGGCAUCUCACCCAUUUAAAGUUUGAGAAUAGGUUGAGGACGUAUCGUCCCCAAGACCUCUAAUCAUUCGCUUUACCGGAUGAAACUCCUCCAUUUCCGCGAGUACCAGCUAUCCUGAGGGAAAACUUCGGAGGGAACCAGCUACUAGAUGGUUCGAUUAGUCUUUCGCCCCUAUACCCAGCUCUGACAAUCGAUUUGCACGUCAGAAUUGCUACGGACCUCCACCAGAGUUUCCUCUGGCUUCACCCUGGCCAGGCAUAGUUCACCAUCUUUCGGGUCCCAACAUGUCUGCUCUUG